Molecule: transfer RNA, 92 nt
Filed under: Coriobacteriales bacterium
Lineage: Bacteria; Bacillati; Actinomycetota; Coriobacteriia; Coriobacteriales
Description: tRNA-Arg
Source: RNAcentral
GCGCCCGUCUUUCGACCAGUCAGUGGACGCAUCUGGCGCUCAUUUGACUACGAAUCAUAAGGUCGGGGGUUCGAAUCCCUCACGGCGCACCA